UGGGGAAUAUUGGACAAUGGGCGAAAGCCUGAUCCAGCAAUGCCGCGUGUGCGAUGAAGGCCUUAGGGUUGUAAAGCACUUUCAGUAGUGAGGAAAAGCACGAUAUUAAUACCAUCAGUGCCUUGACGUUAGCUACAGAAGGAGCACCGGCUAACUCUGUGCCAGCAGCCGCGGUAAUACAGAGGGUGCAAGCGUUAAUCGGAAUUACUGGGCGUAAAGCGCGUGUAGGUGGAAAUUUAAGUCAGAUGUGAAAGCCUUAGGCUUAACCUAAGAACGGCAUUUGAUACUGAAUAUCUAGAGUAUGGUAGAGGAAAGUAGAAUUUCCGGUGUAGCGGUGGAAUGCGUAGAUA
This 350-nucleotide ribosomal RNA is filed under the name uncultured bacterium. Its description in RNAcentral is "bacterial SSU rRNA". It matches the Rfam family "Bacterial small subunit ribosomal RNA", at positions 355 to 696 of the family's 1533-position model. The record is from RNAcentral.